GACGAACGCUGGCGGCGUGCUUAACACAUGCAAGUCGAACGAAGCUUGAUUACGGAUUCUUCGGAUGAAGUAUGAUAUGACUGAGUGGCGGACGGGUGAGUAACGCGUGAGUAACCUGCCCUUCAGAGGGGGAUAGCGUUUGGAAACGAACGGUAAUACCGCAUAAUGUAUUUUGACCGCAUGAUCGAAAUACCAAAGAUUUAUCGCUGAAGGAUGGACUCGCGUCUGAUUAGGUAGUUGGUGGGGUAACGGCCUACCAAGCCGACGAUCAGUAGCCGGACUGAGAGGUUGAUCGGCCACAUUGGGACUGAGACACGGCCCAGACCCCUACGGGAGGCAGCAGUGGGGAAUAUUGCACAAUGGGCGCAAGCCUGAUGCAGCAACGCCGCGUGAAGGAAGACGGUUUUCGGAUUGUAAACUUCUGUUCUUAGUGAAGAAUAAUGACGGUAGCUAAGGAGCAAGCCACGGCUAACUACGUG
RNAcentral lists this ribosomal RNA (479 nucleotides) under uncultured bacterium. RNAcentral's name for it is "partial 16S ribosomal RNA". It matches the Rfam family "Bacterial small subunit ribosomal RNA", at positions 28 to 507 of the family's 1533-position model. The record is from RNAcentral.